UACGUAGGGGGCUAGCGUUGUCCGGAAUCAUUGGGCGUAAAGAGCGUGUAGGCGGCCCGGUAAGUCCGCUGUGAAAGUCAAAGGCUCAACCUUUGAAUGUCAGCGGAUACUGCCGGGCUAGAGUCCGGAAGAGGCGAGUGGAACUCCUGGUGUAGCGGUGGAAUGCGCAGAUAUCGGGAAGAACACCCGUGGCGAAGGCGGCUCUCUGGGACGGUACUGACGCUGAGACGCGAAAGCGUGGGGAGCGAACAGG
RNAcentral lists this ribosomal RNA (253 nucleotides) under uncultured bacterium. RNAcentral's name for it is "partial 16S ribosomal RNA". It matches the Rfam family "Bacterial small subunit ribosomal RNA", at positions 524 to 776 of the family's 1533-position model. The record is from RNAcentral.